This 325-nucleotide ribosomal RNA is filed under the name uncultured eukaryote. RNAcentral's name for it is "partial 18S ribosomal RNA". It matches the Rfam family "Eukaryotic small subunit ribosomal RNA", at positions 1470 to 1796 of the family's 1831-position model. The record is from RNAcentral.
CCCUUAGAUGUUCUGGGCCGCACGCGCGCUACACUGAUGCAUUCAACGAGCCUAUCCUUGACCGACAGGUCCGGGUAAUCUUUGAAUCUGCAUCGUGACGGGGAUAGAUUAUUGCAAUUAUUAAUCUUCAACGAGGAAUGCCUAGUAGGCGCAAGUCAUCAGCUUGCGUCGAUUACGUCCCUGCCCUUCGUACACACCGCCCGUCGCUCCUACCGAUUGGGUGUGCUGGUGAAAUGUUCGGAUCGGCCGUUUGUCGCGGUUUCCGCGGCUCGUGGCUGAGAAGUUCAUUAAACCCUCCCACCUAGAGGAAGGAGAAGUCGUAACA